This is a non-coding RNA of Citrus sinensis (sweet orange), 107 nucleotides long. The record is from Rfam. NCBI's taxonomy places the organism in Eukaryota, Viridiplantae, Streptophyta, Magnoliopsida, Sapindales, Rutaceae.
AUACCAUGAUGAGGACAUCUCUUGAGUAACUCCAUAAUUCUUUCUUAUGCAUCAUACAAGCUUUCAUCUUCAAGUUGAUGGGAUGAUGUGAUCUCUUUUCUCAAUUU